GCCAGGGAAGCGGCGGAGUGAUCCAGCCGUGGAGGCUACACGAGUGAGAAUGCAGGCAUGAGUAGCGAAUGACGGGCGAGAAACCCGUCCGCCGAAUAACCAAGGGUUCCAGGGUCAAGCUAAUCUGCCCUGGGUAAGUCGGGACCUAAGGCGAGGCCGACAGGCGUAGUCGAUGGACAUCCGGUUGAUAUUCCGGAACCGGCGAAGAACCGCCCAUACCGAACCACGUAAUGCUAAGCGCCUGAAGGGCUGGUGAGUCUUCGGACAAUCCGGCCUGGAGCGCGCGACCCGAGCGUGUAGUAGGUAAGCGAUGGAGGGACGCAGGAAGGUAGCCGAACCGCGGCGAUGGUAGACCGCGGGUAAGGAUGUAGGGCGAGGUGUAGGCAAAUCCGUACCUCAUAUGCCUGAGAUCUUAUACGGACGCAUUAGCGGAAGUCGGUAAUCCUAUGCUGCCAAGAAAAUCCUCUAGCGAGGUUCGAGCCGCCCGUACCCCAAACCGACUCAGGUGGCUAGGUAGAGAAUACCAAGGCGAUCGAGUGAAUCGUGGUUAAGGAACUCGGCAAAAUACCCCCGUAACUUCGGGAGAAGGGGGGCCCAGAGGGUGACGGAGACUAGCGCUCCUGAGCCUGAACGGCCGCAGAGACCAGGGAGAAGCGACUGUUUACUAAAAACACAGGUCCGUGCCAAGUCGCAAGACGAUGUAUACGGACUGACGCCUGCCCGGUGCUGGAACGUUAAGGGGACCGGUUAGCCUCACGGCGAAGCUGAGAACUUAAGCGCCAGUAAACGGCGGUGGUAACUAUAACCAUCCUAAGGUAGCGAAAUUCCUUGUCGGGUAAGUUCCGACCUGCACGAAUGGCGUAACGACUUCUCCACUGUCUCAACCACGAACUCGGCGAAAUUACACUACGAGUAAAGAUGCUCGUUACGCGCAGAAGGACGGAAAGACCCCGGGACCUUUACUACAGCUUGGUAUUGGUGUUCGGAACGGCUUGUGUAGGAUAGGUGGGAGGCUUUGAAGCUGAUACGCCAGUAUCGGUGGAGCCAACGUUGAAAUACCACUCUGGUCGUUCUGGAUGUCUAACCUAGGUCCGUAAUCCGGAUCAGGGACAGUGCCUGGUGGGUAGUUUAACUGGGGCGGUUGCCUCCUAAAAGGUAACGGAGGCGCCCAAAGGUUCCCUCAGCCUGGUUGGCAAUCAGGUUUUGAGUGUAAGUGCACAAGGGAGCUUGACUGUGAGACUGACAAGUCGAACAGGGACGAAAGUCGGGACUAGUGAUCCGGCGGUGGCUUGUGGAAGCGCCGUCGCUCAACGGAUAAAAGGUACCCCGGGGAUAACAGGCUGAUCUUGCCCAAGAGUCCAUAUCGACGGCAUGGUUUGGCACCUCGAUGUCGGCUCGUCGCAUCCC
RNAcentral lists this ribosomal RNA (1407 nucleotides) under metagenome. RNAcentral's name for it is "bacterial LSU rRNA". It matches the Rfam family "Bacterial large subunit ribosomal RNA", at positions 1246 to 2548 of the family's 2925-position model. The record is from RNAcentral.